AGUGAACGCUGGCGGUAGGCCUAACACAUGCAAGUCGAACGGCAGCACAGUAAGAGCUUGCUCUUACGGGUGGCGAGUGGCGGACGGGUGAGGAAUACAUCGGAAUCUACUUUUUCGUGGGGGAUAACGUAGGGAAACUUACGCUAAUACCGCAUACGACCUACGGGUGAAAGCAGAGGAUAUUCGGACCUUGCGCGAUUGAAUGAGCCGAUGUCGGAUUAGCUAGUUGGCGGGGUAAAGGCCCACCAAGGCGACGAUACGUAGCUGGUCUGAGAGGAUGAUCAGCCACACUGGAACUGAGACACGGUCCAGACUCCUACGGGAGGCAGCAGUGGGGAAUAUUGGACAAUGGGCGCAAGCCUGAUCCAGCCAUACCGCGUGGGUGAAGAAGGCCUUCGGGUUGUAAAGCCCUUUUGUUGGGAAAGAAAAGCAGCAGGUUAAUACCCCGCUGUUCUGACGGUACCCAAUGAAUAAGCACCGGCUAACUUCGUG
Molecule: ribosomal RNA, 492 nt
Filed under: uncultured bacterium
Lineage: Bacteria
Description: partial 16S ribosomal RNA
Rfam family: Bacterial small subunit ribosomal RNA
Source: RNAcentral